AGAGCUCUGCACUAAAGUUAUCACAUUGGCCAAUGCAACAAGCAAAACCAGCAAUCAAAUUCCCAUAAGAACCACGCAACGGACCACCAGCAUCCCCAAAUCUAUUAAUCAUGCUUCCAUCAAUAAGCACAGCCACCUAAUCCUCCGGCGAGGGAAGCCAUUGAACCAAUACUCCAUGUUGCACUUUAGAGAUCGAAUGUAGGGAGUCUGAAACUCAAGCAUUAGUAGUUUCCUUAACUUGGAGAGGAUGAGGAGAGCAAGAUCUUUAGGUGGGUCAGCUUCUCAAAAAAUUUAUGGCAUUCCUCUAUUUCCAAAUCAUCCAUAAAGCGAACCCAAACACCGUUGUCCAUUUAAAAGUAUGUGGAACCAAAUUUAAUCAAAUUGAAAUUCGACGACUUUGCCAUGCAGCCUGACGCGUUUAUUUGUUCAGUAAAUCACAUUAUCACAAUGAAAGCUGGUUUAUAUAGCUAAACAAAACCAUAGAGCUAUCGUUUGCUUAACUAAGCCCAACGAUCUGAACCGGAGUGCUCUUCAAAGUCUAAACCAUUUCGUCCCCUCCCGCCUUUCAAAAAUGGCUUUAUUUGCCCGCCGCCACUCUAAAACCUCCCUCAGAAGCCCUAUGGUAUCUCUCGACUCCUUUACCUCACAAGUGCUCGAAGAACACCUUUCUGUCUCUUCAUUUCCUGCGCGCUCUCCAAUGUUCCAUUUCAAGUCUCGAAAUUCCAAGCCUAAACUUAUUAUAGUGCUUCAAUUUCAAAAACUGCUCCUAACCCUUGGGUUUUUUUCUAGGGUUUUGUUUUUCUUUCUUCUUUUGUUUUUUCAUAACAAAAUGUCGUGGGAAGGGGAGAUUGUGCUUCGAGACGAGACAAAUGCUGGUCUCGUCGUUAGCGACCGCAUUGGGCGGGAGGUUGCGGCUCAGCUUGACCUCGAAGAGGCCCUUGAAGCUUCCAGAUAUGCUAGCCAUCCUUAUUCUACUCACCCUAGAGAGUGGCCUCCUUUCAUUGAGGUGGUGGACACCUGGGAGUUGCCCCCCCUGUACUAAUUGAAAGAUACAGUGCAGCCGGUGGAGAAGGGACGGCUUUAUGUGGAAUAUUUCCUGAGAUACGUAGGGCAUAGGCAUCGGUUGAUGAUUCCCUGUUUCUAUGGAGAUUUGAUAAGUGCGAGAGCACAUGCUUGCAGCUCAUGUAUUGCUAAAACUGGCUGAGAGAUGCUCAACUGGUGCAAGAGAUGUUCCUAGUCUUGAACAGAGGUAUGUCUGGAGAUGCUUUACUUUGCAAAUUAUUCGGGUGAUGCUCAUAGUAGCAUUGUCAGAGAAACUUGGGCCAGACUAAUUGAUCAAGCUCUUUCAAGCGGUGGCUUUGCUGAAGCUUGUUCAGUAUUGAAGAGGGUUGGUUCCCACGUAUACCCUGGAGAUGGAGCUGUUUUACCAUUAGACCCUUUAUGUCUUCACCUCGAGAAGGCCGCUCUGGAGAGAAUGGAACCAGGGGUUGAAUCUGUUGGCGAUGAAGAUGUAGCAAGAGCUCUUCUUACUGCUUGCAAGGGUGCAACUGAACCUGUACUAAAUGCUUAUGAUCAGUUGUUGUCAAAUGGGGCUAUUUUGCCAUCUCCCAACCUUAGGUUAUGCCUUCUCUGAUCAGUUCUAGUGGUACUCCAAGAAUGGACAAUGUCAGUAUUUGCUCAGGGGUUCCCUAAUAUUAGGCGGAACAUUCUCACAUGAGCAAACAACAGUCAUUAACAAAGGGAUUCGUGAUAAGAUCACAAGUGCAGCGAACAGGUGAAUUUGUCCUUUCAGCUAUUUGUUACUUUUUGCUUCUUUAAUUGUCAUGCAUGCUAGACAAGAGUUUCUUGGCAGGUAAAGAGAUUGCGGUUACAAUCUGAUAGCUUUCGUGUUUCAUAAGUUUGCUGAACAUAAAUAGUUUGAAAAGAAACAAAAAAAAUGUGAGAUCCUAGAUCUUAUUCUUAUAUUGGACUUCAUGAAAACUGAAUAUUAAUAAGAGGAAUGCUAGCAACACUUUCUUUUGGACCCUUUCAUUAGAAAUUUCCUCUACAAUUGGACACAUACAGAAAAAAAUUGAAUUUUAAAUCAAUAAUUUCAUGUGAGAGAAUAUAGACCAAUUAUUAAGAGAGUCUCUAAGAAAGUGUUCAAGAGAGAGUUUUGCUGGCAUUCUCAAUACUACUAAAAGAGAUAUAAGUUUAAGAUUAUUGGGACUGGAGUAGUUCUGAAAUUAUGUGGUUGACUUUUGUGAUGUUCAAAGAAUCAACUCAACUCAACUAAGCCUUUAUCCCAAAAAUUUGGGGUCGGCUAUAUGGAUUCGCUUUUUCCACUCUGAACGAUUUUGGGUUAAAUCCUCAGAAAUGUGUAAUACUUCUAAGUCAUGUUGUACUACUCUCCUCCAAGUCAAUUUAGGUCUACCUUUUUUUUUUUUUCUAUCCUCUAACCUAAUGUGCUCUACUUGUCUAACUGGAGCCUCCGUAUGUCUACGCUUCACAUGACCAAACAACCUUAAUCUCCCUUCUCUCAAUUUAUCGUCAAUUGGCACCACUCCUACCCUUUCUUUAAUACUUUCAUCACGGACUUUAUCUAGUCUAGUAUGGCCACUCAUCCACCUUAACAUUCUCAUCUCUGCAACUCUUAACUUAGAUGCACACGACUCUUUCAGUGCCCAACACUCACUACCAUAUAACAUAGCCGGUCGUAUGGCUGUACGGUAAAAUUUUCCUUUUAAUUUAUUGGGAAUCUUACGAUCACAUAAAACUCCCAUGGCACGUCUCCACUUCAACCAUCCGGCUUUAAUCCUAUGACUAACAUCCUCCUCACAUCCCCCAUCUACUUGAAGGACUGAGCCUAGAUAUUUAAAGUGAUUACUUUGGAACAGUACCACUCCAUUCAAACUAAUUCCUUCCCUAUCACCAGUUUGGCCUUCACUGAACUUGCAAUGCAUGUAUUCUGUCUUCGUUUUACUUAACUUAAAACCCUUUGACUCUAGAGUACUUCUCCAAAGUUCUAGCUUCCUAUUGACUCCUUCUCGUGUCUCAUCUAUCAGAACAAUAUCAUCCGCAAACAUCAUGCAUCAAGGAAUACUCUCUUGUAUAUGUUUCGUCAGUUCAUCUAAAACUAAUGUAAAAAGGUAAGGGCUUAUGGCUGAUCCUUGGUGUAAUCCAAUUGAGAUCGGAAAAUCUCUUGUGUCCCCUCCCACUGUGCGCACAAUAGUAGUUGCUCCUUCAUACAUAUCUUUCAAUACUUGUAUGUACCUAAUAGAUACCCUCUUUUGUUCUAACACAUUCCAUAAGACCUCUCUUGGAACACUAUUAUAAGCCUUCUCCAAAUCAAUAAAAACCAUGUGUAGAUCUUUCUUCACAUCUCUAUAUUUCUCCAUCAAGCUUCUAAUGAGAAAGAUCGCUUCCAUAGUUGAACGACCGGGCAUGAAACCAAAUUGAUUGAGAGAGAUAGAAGUAUCAUGACGUAGUCACUGCUCCACAACUCUCUCCCACAACUUCAUAGUAUGGCUCAUGAGUUUAAUUCCCCUAUAGUUUGAGCAACUCUGUAUGUCUCCCUUAUUUUUAAAAAUAGGUACUAAAAUACUCUUCCUCCAUUCAUCAGGCAUUUUCUUUGAGUUUAGAAUCUUAUUAAAUAAUUUAGUUAACCAUGCCACUCCCAUAUCUCCUAAAUACUUCCACACUUCAAUUGGUAU
Molecule: RNA transcript, 3692 nt
Organism: Hevea brasiliensis (rubber tree)
Lineage: Eukaryota; Viridiplantae; Streptophyta; Magnoliopsida; Malpighiales; Euphorbiaceae
Gene name: nuclear pore complex protein NUP155
Exons: 5
Source: RefSeq, a predicted model, not a curated record